Molecule: ribosomal RNA, 496 nt
Filed under: uncultured bacterium
Lineage: Bacteria
Description: partial 16S ribosomal RNA
Rfam family: Bacterial small subunit ribosomal RNA
Source: RNAcentral
GAUGAACGCUGGCGGCGUGCCUAAUACAUGCAAGUCGAGCGAACAGACGAGGAGCUUGCUCCUCUGACGUUAGCGGCGGACGGGUGAGUAACACGUGGAUAACCUACCUAUAAGACUGGGAUAACUUCGGGAAACCGGAGCUAAUACCGGAUAAUAUAUUGAACCGCAUGGUUCAAUAGUGAAAGACGGUUUUGCUGUCACUUAUAGAUGGAUCCGCGCCGCAUUAGCUAGUUGGUAAGGUAACGGCUUACCAAGGCAACGAUGCGUAGCCGACCUGAGAGGGUGAUCGGCCACACUGGAACUGAGACACGGUCCAGACUCCUACGGGAGGCAGCAGUAGGGAAUCUUCCGCAAUGGGCGGAAGCCUGACGGAGCAACGCCGCGUGAGUGAUGAAGGUCUUCGGAUCGUAAAACUCUGUUAUUAGGGAAGAACAAAUGUGUAAGUAACGAUGCACGUCUUGACGGUACCGAAUCAGAAAGCCACGGCUAACUACGU